GCGAACGCUGGCGGCAGGCCUAAUACAUGCAAGUCGAACGGCUUCUUCGGAAGCAGUGGCGGACGGGUGAGUAACGCGUGGGAACGUGCCCUUUGGUACGGAACAACUGAGGGAAACUUCAGCUAAUACCGUAUGAGCCCUUCGGGGGAAAGAUUUAUCGCCAUUGGAGCGGCCCGCGUUCGAUUAGCUAGUUGGUGGGGUAAAGGCCUACCAAGGCAACGAUCUAUAGCUGGUCUGAGAGGAUGAUCAGCCACACUGGGACUGAGACACGGCCCAGACUCCUACGGGAGGCAGCAGUAGGGAAUCUUGCGCAAUGGGCGAAAGCCUGACGCAGCCAUGCCGCGUGAAUGAUGAAGGUCUUAGGAUUGUAAAAUUCUUUCACCGGGGACGAUAAUGACGGUACCCGGAGAAGAAGCACCGGCUAACUCCGUGCCAGCAGCCGCAGUAA
RNAcentral lists this ribosomal RNA (448 nucleotides) under uncultured bacterium. Its description in RNAcentral is "partial 16S ribosomal RNA". It matches the Rfam family "Bacterial small subunit ribosomal RNA", at positions 29 to 523 of the family's 1533-position model. The record is from RNAcentral.